RNAcentral lists this small RNA (489 nucleotides) under Pongo abelii (Sumatran orangutan). RNAcentral's name for it is "processed transcript". Lineage: Eukaryota; Metazoa; Chordata; Mammalia; Primates; Hominidae. The record is from RNAcentral.
AGUGUACGCGCUGCCGGCGAAGAGGGGAGCCUGACGACUCGGAAAUUUGAAUACCACAGUAGCAUGGAGUGUGACCUCAUGGAGACUGACAUCUUGGAGUCGUUGGAGGAUCUAGGUUACAAGGGCCCAUUGUUGGAAGAUGGAGCGCUCUCUCAGGCAGUCUCUGCUGGAGCCAGUUCCCCCGAGUUUACCAAACUCUGUGCUUGGCUGGUGUCUGAAUUAAGAGUGCUCUGUAAACUAGAGGAAAACGUGCAAGCAACUAACAGUCCGAGUGAAGCUGAAGAAUUCCAGCUUGAGGUGAGUGGGCUACUAGGGGAGAUGAACUGCCCGUAUCUUUCACUGACAUCUGGGGAUGUGACCAAGCGCCUUCUCAUUCAGAAGAACUGCCUCCUCUUGCUCAUUAAAGGAAACAUUAGCAAAAGUUCCACCUAAUCAUGUGGGAAAGCCUUUACUGAAGAAGCCAAUGGGACCAGCCCACUGGGAAAAGAU